Molecule: non-coding RNA, 21 nt
Organism: Caenorhabditis elegans
Lineage: Eukaryota; Metazoa; Nematoda; Chromadorea; Rhabditida; Rhabditidae
Source: Ensembl
UCAACUCUGAUGUUUCCUUGA